This 594-nucleotide ribosomal RNA is filed under the name Trichoderma asperellum. RNAcentral's name for it is "eukaryotic LSU rRNA". The stretch from base 204 to 357 matches the Rfam family "5.8S ribosomal RNA". The record is from RNAcentral. Lineage: Eukaryota; Fungi; Ascomycota; Sordariomycetes; Hypocreales; Hypocreaceae.
CGAGUACGCGGAGGACAUUACCGAGUUUACAACUCCCAAACCCAAUGUGAACGUUACCAAACUGUUGCCUCGGCGGGGUCACGCCCCGGGUGCGUCGCAGCCCCGGAACCAGGCGCCCGCCGGAGGAACCAACCAAACUCUUUCUGUAGUCCCCUCGCGGACGUAUUUCUUACAGCUCUGAGCAAAAAUUCAAAAUGAAUCAAAACUUUCAACAACGGAUCUCUUGGUUCUGGCAUCGAUGAAGAACGCAGCGAAAUGCGAUAAGUAAUGUGAAUUGCAGAAUUCAGUGAAUCAUCGAAUCUUUGAACGCACAUUGCGCCCGCCAGUAUUCUGGCGGGCAUGCCUGUCCGAGCGUCAUUUCAACCCUCGAACCCCUCCGGGGGAUCGGCGUUGGGGAUCGGGACCCCUCACACGGGUGCCGGCCCCGAAAUACAGUGGCGGUCUCGCCGCAGCCUCUCCUGCGCAGUAGUUUGCACAACUCGCACCGGGAGCGCGGCGCGUCCACGUCCGUAAAACACCCAACUUUCUGAAAUGUUGACCUCGGAUCAGGUAGGAAUACCCGCUGAACUUAAGCAUAUCAAUAAGGCGGAGGAA